AACUUGACAACACACCGGCACUCUGGACAUCUGCCAAAGGAUCUGAUUUUACUGCUCAGAAACAAGCCAGUUUUAUACCAGCUACUAGACAAUAAUGAAGAAAAGAUUCUGCACAGCAGAGUUUGUUUCACUUACUUGUUGAACAGCACAGCCGACUAAACUGUUUCAGUAAUAAUGGUUAUUGACAAUGUCAAUAUGGACUCCAUCCAAGUGGUCCCUGUGGAAGGCUGGAGCACCAAGUAUAUGGUUCAUAUUCUACGGUUCUUUCCUUCUGUUACAGUUGUUACAUUUGAGAGAAAUCAAAUUACAAUCAAAACUAAUUCUACAGAGAAUAUCUUUGUCUGGCAUAGAGGGAUGGUCUACAAAUACACUUCUAAGAUAACAGCAGUGUUGAAACAAUAAAUUCAAGCAGCAGCCUGGGCUAUCUGAGGACCAACAAGCCUGUUCAAGUCAUGUAUGUCUUCCUGGCGUCAUGUGAUGGCAUCCCUUCCAAAAGUGGAUUGUCUGCUAUGAGUUUGGUGGUUCCUAUUGGACUUUUUAUGGAUGCCUAUUACUGGUUUACAUCUGAUGUGUCGCUGUUUCGUCUUCAUCAUUUCCUUAUCUAUAUAUGUCAACUGGAGGAUGUGUCUGACCUCCGACUGAAUACAGAACCUAUUCAAAUAAACCAGACAGG
Biomphalaria glabrata is the source of this 673-nucleotide long non-coding RNA. RefSeq lists it as uncharacterized. The record is from RefSeq and is a predicted model, not a curated record. Lineage: Eukaryota; Metazoa; Mollusca; Gastropoda; Planorbidae. The transcript has 5 exons.